GAUAUGCCAACAGAAGGAAACUUUUGCAGCAUUCUCUUCCUGGGGGGAUAUUGGAAUUUCCAUACAUGAAGACCCAGAGGAAAGUUUUCCCAGAAAACAACAAAAAAAGUCUAUACAAAGCGAGCUAUCUUAUGGGGAACAAUGGAGCAAAAUGAAAAUUUAGGCCUAUUGAAGAUCAUUCCAGGGUAGCUACCUCACCUUCCACCUUAUAAACUGCUUUUCUUUCUCAGGUGCUGCUCUGCUCUCAAAAACAAACAAACAAAAAAAGAAACCAAACCUUGACCACACAGCCCUUUGCCACUGCUGCCAUCCAGUGGUCAUAAGUAGGAACGCAGGACAGUUAAGUCCUCAAGUGGUUUAGUGUUCCCUGAAGUACAGGUAGAUCAGACUUAUGGUAAGGAGGCAACUGGUUACGUAAUGUGAUUUUAGGGGUGGAAAUUAUCUGAUGUAUGUUUUGGAGGAAUUCUGGACACUGCCUCAAAUAUCAUCGUCUUUGGGAAGGCUAAUCCUACAUUAAUGCCAUCUUAACAUAUCGUUAAAUGCUUACAGUGGCUAUAAAGAGUCAGUUCCUUAAUGGUAGGGCAAUGGAGUAGAACCAACAUAUACCAUCAACUUCAGGAAACAACAAUGAUGGUUCCAUAUGGUACAGAAGACUGUGUUGAUUCGCUGGGUGCAGGACAUCACUGCAUGGUAAAGAUUCUAUCAUAAUUGCUAAGUUACAGUAAUUUCACCAUUACUUGAGGUAACAAAAGCUUCUAUCCAGUUUCUCUUGACACAUCCCAUGACAAAAACUCUCCAAUCCAUAGGCACAUAUUGACUACCUAAUUUUCUUUGUCUUAGUUCUGAGAUUCCUGAAAAUCCUUGAGCAGUGUUCUUAGAAAUCUUAUUCUGUAUUUUUUUUUAUUACAAAAUCUCAGGCAGAUUAUGAUAUGUGCCAAUUUUUAAUGUUUUAACAAAAUAACAGCAAUUAUAAUAGCAAUUAUAAUUCCCCCAUUGAUUAUUAAAAUUGCUUUACAAGGUUUUAGCUUGAAUAUUUUGACUGCAA
RNAcentral lists this long non-coding RNA (1045 nucleotides) under Marmota monax (woodchuck). The record is from RNAcentral. Lineage: Eukaryota; Metazoa; Chordata; Mammalia; Rodentia; Sciuridae.